UGGUGGCUUCCACCACCGCGACAUGAUCGCCCCCACUAACGACCUCCCGCAUUCCGAACGUCACUUCUACCCUUCGGGGUCGAGCCAUGAAAUGCCCCUUGCGUCGCUAACUCGAUACUCCUUCCGCACUCGUGCACCGAAGACGAUCAAGUGCAUCCACCGGUUGUCCCGAGGGAAUCCAGGAAAAAGGGACGACAACGGGCACGGCAAAAAGGUUGAGGGCGCGAUAGCAGGAACUGGCAACCGGAAACUGGCAUCGUGAACCGCAUGUCUAGCGGCAAGAUAAAUCGCUCGCCACAGAAGCACGAUUAAUCGUAACCGGUGGAAUCAUAAUGGACAUUAUCGUCUGGCCAAGUGCAAAACCGGGCCACCGAGAGAUGCGACACGCACCAAAUGGCGUCCCUAUUGAUCAACAAUAUAAGCGGUGACGCAGAUUCGGAACCGUGGAACCGAGCAAGAGCAUUUCCGUCGCGUGGGCGUGCUAGUCGCCGUUCAUCCGAAGGAGAAACGCGGAAAUGCGAAUGCCGGGCGCGCCUGCCAGCUCGCACGAUUUGCGGAAGACACACAGGCGACGUUUUGCAACCGCCGCCUAUGCAGUCUAUUAAACAUAGAUAGGAGUACCGCAUUGCCGUGAAUCGGCGCGAGGUAGUGUUAGAGGUUUACUGUGCGCCAUGUCUCUCCCUGCACCAGGGGUUCUCCAAGAACCACCCAAAAUCGUUUCCCCAAUUCUGCUUGUUGUUUGCCGAGUACCUGUGUUGCGUCAAACUUUAAUUAAAGCAGAACAUUGGCUUUAAUUGGAUAAAUCACCGCGUGGUCUCCUUUACAUUCACUCACUUUGGUUACAAUUCUUAACCAAUUCCAAAACAAAUUUAUCACGAGCAUUGAACAAAUAUUUUUUUAUUAACAAGUAAUUACGUAGAAUAUUUAUUUCAAGAGCAUGGUAUUCCGAAAAUAUUACCAAAAGUGACCGGUAAUUUCGUUCCCUCAUUGCAAUUCUGCCUGUUUUAGCAUAUGCGUGACGCGAGACUGGAUAUUCAUGACGCUCAGUGUCAGAUAAGCGAUAACAUGCCAUUUCGAGAGAACCACUGAGACACAAACGGCCGUGCAGACAUUGCACAGACUCUACGUACUGACACUACAGGUACGGACAUGCUAUAUAGACGCAUUGUGCACAGUGAUAAUAACGAAGCUCAGUUGCGAGUCGGCGUCAGGUCGCAGCCUCGCUCUUGCCCUCGGCCUCGUUCGUUAUUCUUAACGUCAUCACGGCCGCAGUCAAAUCUAUGCGUGUCUACCACCCUCCCUCACAUGCACACCCCCGGCUUCUUCACGCCAGCCUAUAUACAUCGCCCAUGCAUCCGGCAGUUCGUACUUUCUUUAGCAUUUCACCCCUUCCGCCACCCAUUCGUCCCGAUUUAGCGUCCGCUAUCCAUCAGUUCCUACCUUUUUAGGAGAAACGUGAGCGCGACUUCGCGCGCGGAUUCCGCGUUGCAGAUGUGCGCGUCACAGCGUUGCGGAAACGCGCAAUCGACGCGAGUGGGUCGAAUCGGUUCGCCUUUCAUUUUCUCGUCUUCAACACCGCACGGAUUUUAAGGGCACCUGGGGUACCCUUCGUGUAAAACACACCAUUUAGAAAAUCACUUUAUUGAUUGUAAAUGAUGACAGCGUCAUUUCUCUUACACCAGUUAUUACGCGAUUUACAUUUCCUGUCAUGCACAACACACGUCGCGCCUAUUUAUAGAAAUUCUUACACGCACGAGCUAUUAUGCCAGGAAACGUGAGGACAUCUCAUUUAAAUACAUCAAAUAUAUCAGGUGCAUUGAUUAUUUAUCAUAUUAAAUUUACUUCGGGGAUAAAAACUGAGAGUAAGAGAGAGAGAUUACAAAAUUGAUGCUGAUUCGUAUCAAAAUUUGGGACUCAUACAGUCUAUUUGUUAUAUCCUCACUAAAACGAUCAUGCUCAAUUGAUGUAUGAGAAAAAUUAUACAUCUGCAUUUGGCACUUGGAUAUAACGGAAGUACGCGCGAAGGCGUACGUGUUUGAGAUGGCUAAGCCCAAUACCGUGGGGAGCGAAUAACGGAGCGCGAUCUCGCUUUCGCGCGUACUCCCGAGCGGGUCGCAACAGGUGCUUAGACAAAAGAUACGGUCUAACCGGUGUGGUAGGAUUCAGAAAAGCUUCGUCGCGCCCAAUCGACCCUUUUCCUUCUAUGACGGACAUAAUGAGGAUCCGACGGGCGCUUCUUACGCCAGAAGCGCCGGUGCCCGCUUUCAAGUCGCGCCCGCGCCUCACCUUCAUCCUGCCCGUUUACUGCCAGUCGGGAUGAAUUAUUUCUGCGGCUUGGAAAUUGUACUAAACUCACGUCGCCUCUGAGGAACGAAUAGAAACCGCUGCUGCGGAAUGCCACGUGGCAAGCUUUCGCAAACACGUAGAUGGGCUAAGAAAUACGGUUGUUCACACCGUUACAGUUAGAGGCAGUCGUUUGAGAAAUGUACUUUUGUAAGUUAUACACAAAGGCAGAUCUGCGACGAACGUUUAAGGGAGAGAGAAAUGCAGCUGGCGGAACGAUCAUUCGUAAUAUCCUCUAGUGCUUUCAAAUCCGCUCGAUAAUCACGAUAAUUGUUAACAACUGUAAUUUACAAUGUUGACAGCAAUGAAUAAAAGUCGGAACCUACUUAAGA
Ooceraea biroi (clonal raider ant) is the source of this 2675-nucleotide long non-coding RNA. RefSeq lists it as uncharacterized. Lineage: Eukaryota; Metazoa; Arthropoda; Insecta; Hymenoptera; Formicidae. The record is from RefSeq and is a predicted model, not a curated record.